AUGGGCACGAGCGACGGCGAGACGGAGGCGACGACGUCGCGAGAUCGGGACUGGUCCUCUCUCCCGACGGACCUGCUCAUCGAGAUACUGCGGCGGCUCCGCUGGUCCAGCCACCCCGGCUUCGCCCUGGCGUGCAGCCGCUGGCGCUCCGCCGUCUCGCCCUUCUACCCGGCGUCCGUCACGCCUCUCCUGCUCAACGCCGCCCGCGUCGGCUCCACCAACGCGCGCUUCUACAGCCCCUACUUCGACAAGAGCUUCGAGCUCGCCGCCACGCUGGGCGCGCCCGGUGCCAAGAUCUGCGGCGCCGCCGGACGGCGCCUCACGCUGGCCCUGCCGCACCUUGUCCGCAACGUCGACCUCGGGUCGGGCAUCGCCCACGACAUGCCGCCGGUCGAUCAAGUCGGGUUCGACUUCGUCGUCGGCGACGGCGGCGACGGCGCGGCGGGCAGGAUGGUCGGUGUCAGCGCGGUCAUGUUUCUGCGGGCCGCGCUCUCCUUCAGGAACGGCGAUGGCGGGUGGACGGACUGGGACUUCACCCCGUACGAGUUCGGACCGGCGUUCGUGCCGUCGCCGAGCUGUAACCCGGUCUUCCACGGCGGGUUGCUCUACCUGCUGGGACAGGACGGGAGGCUGGCGGUGUACGACCAGCGCAUGCACGACCAAGGGUUUGAGAUCCUGGAGAAGCCCCGGAGCUUCGGGUUCGAAUGCGAAGACAGCUACCUCGUCGAGUCCGGCCAAGACGAGCUCAUGGCCGUCCUGGUCGGCCUCCGUGGGCCGCCGGUCAACGUCGUCAAGCUCAACGAGCACACCAUGGAGUGGGAGAAGGUGGAGAGCCUGGAGGGGAGCGUCCUGUUCACCGGCACGCUCACGACGACGAUGAAGAAGACCGGCGCCAGGUGGAUGCAGGACAGGAUCUUCCUCCCCAGGCUCUUUGAUUGGCCCGAGGCCAUCCCUGCUGACCUUGUUCAACAUGACGGCGAACUCGCAUUUGUGCCCAAGCAGGAGUGCGCGUGGCCUGCUGUGAGGGAUGACACCUAUGUGACAAACAUGUGGAGUUACAAAUUGGGACAAAGCGGUGAAGAAGCAAGAGAAUUUUGGGAAACAGAAAAACUAGAUUAUGGUGUCUGGGUCGAUUUUGAUAGUACUUAG
This 1149-nucleotide ribosomal RNA is filed under the name Triticum aestivum (bread wheat). RNAcentral describes it as "partial small subunit ribosomal RNA". The record is from RNAcentral. Lineage: Eukaryota; Viridiplantae; Streptophyta; Magnoliopsida; Poales; Poaceae.